This 2150-nucleotide long non-coding RNA is filed under the name Equus asinus (donkey). RNAcentral describes it as "lncRNA (ENSEASG00005029771.1)". Lineage: Eukaryota; Metazoa; Chordata; Mammalia; Perissodactyla; Equidae. The record is from RNAcentral.
GUACAGCUGCCCCGGCGGGCGCGCGGUCCGCGUGGCGGCGAGUCCUCGGCUCUGGAGGGCGCGGACCCGCGGGACCCGGCUGCCGCGGCGGCGAGGCGGGGACCCGGCACCUCCGCGCGGCUCACUCCCGCCUGCGGGCUGCGACUUUCCAUCCGCGCGUAAGACGGCGAGCCCACGAGGACCUGGACAUCGUUCCGCGCCCGGGGGGACUGUGAGGGUGCCGCCAAGACCCCGAAGCGGGUCCUCUGCGCUUAACGAGUGCCGGGGCCUCGCCUGACCGCGGCGCGAAGCGCGCGAGAAUGAGCCGGUUUCCCUCCGUCAAGAAAUUUCCAUUUAAGUCCCAGAAAGUCAUAAAACGGCGAAGACUCGGCAGUGGCCCCAGUGUCUGGGAGAAAAGUCCUAAAGGGUGGAGGGCCGGGACGCUGGCUCCUCGGGUCCCCGCCUGCUGUGACUUCCGCAGGGAGAGACGUGUCUCGAGUCGGCACCGGCGGGUCCCCCAGCUCUGACACGCGGCAGCCUCGGGCCUGCAGCUCCCCGCGUAGCAGCAGGACCUCACAGGCGGCGCGGGGGACGGGAAGGAAGCCAGGCUUGGGGACUUCUCCCGACAGAGUGGACCCCCACACCCCUAAAGUGAAAGACAGCGAUAGUCAAGUUCAACCGCAGGAAGAGCAAGGUUCCACCAUGCGCCAGAGCAGACGGUGCCGAGGUAGUCACUCCCUGCGCCUCUUCCUUCCAGAAGCCCAAAGCCGAGGCACCCCCAGGCGAGAGUCUCCGCCCCCGGGAUGGACGCGCUCCCACCUCCCUCCUGCCCUCGCGCCCGGCAGCGACUUUCUGCCUCUGGCAGUGGCUCCACCUAAAGGCUUUACUGUUACUUUCCCUUGUCAUCGCUGUUAUUGGCGUGAAGCCCUCUGGCCGGCUCCCGGCCGCCGGCAGGGCCCCGCCUCCCUCCUUCCUUUCCCCGAGCCCCUCGGCACGGGCAAGACUCGGAGCCGCUCAUGCUCCCGCUGCCGGUGCGCCGACCACCGCGCCCCAGUCCGUCUGGAUCCCGAGACUCCCUCGCCGGCGCAGCACACAGGACGGCCUCCACAACAGAGUUAUUCUGCCCACAAUGUCAAGCGUGCUCAGCUCAAGGAACCCUGCCUUACACUCCAGGCCAGCCUCUGAAGGUGUUUAGGAGAAGGAAAAACGACUCCACGGUGCUGUGUGGGGUCCCCGUCUCUGCGCAGCAGUCAUGCUCCAGGGAGGGGCUCUGUGGAUCCAGAUGCAGCUGAAACAGAACAACACAAGUGGAAAACGGAGAAAAAAAAGGUUGCAAAGGAUUAAAAGUCCAUUUACUGAUAUUUUAUAUUCUACUGUGCACAGUCUUUGCAUAAGAAAAUUUCAAGAACGGAGAUGGGCCCUAAAACAGCCCUCAAAAGCUGCUGCUUCAGCGUGUGGCCCUCGCUGGGCUCUCCAGCACCCAUCACUGACCACGUGGCGUUUGCUCUAGAGAAUCGACAUGUCUGACUGUGGUCUUCCAUCCCUCGUGGCUCUCUGGAUGCCAAAUGGCAUUGCUGGUUCUCAGUUUUUGUUUCCCGAAGCGUGUGUCUUAAAGCUGUUUCUCACACCAUUAAGUUCAAUAAGGACGAGCAAGCCAUGGACUCUGCCCUCAAGGAGCUGACGUGCUGUCAAGGGAGAGACACCUAGACAACUGGCUGAAGACAGUCAAGGAAAUGCAGCGCUCUUUGCAGAAACCCAGGGAGAAAGUUCGCAAAUCUUCUGAAGGAAUUAGAAAAACUUUUGCAGAUGAGGUGACAUUAGAGUCUGCCCUUGACCAUUCAAUUUAUUCCACAGAAAAUAUGUCAGAGGGAAAUGGGGAGAAAUUAAGAAGCAAACUCACAUGAGUCUCUGAACUAGUGAGGGCACGUAACUGGUUACCGGAAAUAAAUCAGGAGAGAAGCUCCCUCCCGGAAGGACGGGAGCUGUGACUUAGGACGUUACAGUAGAAGGAAGGUCUCAUCCUUCUGUCAGCUCCCCAAUCUCUAACGAGUAAAAAAUCAUCAAAGAAAACAAAAAUGUUACACUCUAGCCACCAUUUGAGUAUUUAUUGUAUGCAAGGCAUAGUGCUAAUUUCUUUGCACAGGGUAUCCCAAUUGAUUCUGUCAACAGCU